UAAAACAAUAAAUUUGGUCUCAUACUUUGAAUAAUUCAUAAUACAACAACAACUUAUCAGGUCAAGGGUACAAAUUAUUUCUAGUGAAGUGCAGAACCCAUGGGUGAUUGACCUUACAAAUAUGAUAAUUCUGGUAACAAAAUUGCUUGUCUUUUCCAUAUGCGCCAAAAUGAUCCUUGAUAGAACACAUGGAUAUAGUUCAAAAAUGAACCGAGGAUCAGAAGCUUGCGGAUUGACCCGUUUCAAAUUUAGUAUGAACAUGAGUAAAAUAACUAUAAUAAUUUAUGACUGGACUGGAAAUGUGAUCUCCUCUGUGGAUCACACCUGCAAAAUAAUGAUAUAAUGUACUUGAAUCUAGGAAAAAACUUAUAUGUAAAAUUUUAGAUAAGACUAAUACCAAGCUGUGCAUGUCUAGUUGUCCUGCUGAGCUCCAUCUCAGCUGCAAUCUCUGGACCAACUCACUUCUUAGCGAUCAACAAUGAGCGCAGGCAAGUCACUAUGACAACACAGGAAUGUCUCACAACAGAUGCAUCCAAUAAUUCAAACCGGCAGUUAAGCAUCACUAUGUACAUUGUCGAUGAAGACCCUAAUACAGUGUUGCUGAUUCAGAAAAUAGAUAUGCAAAGCCGAUGCUACUAUUUUCAGGUAUAUACACAGUACCAAAUAGAGGUAGGUUCAUCAGUGAAUAUGUGAGUCCUUGAUUGCACUGUCAUCAAAAAAGCUGCUCAUUGCCCAUGUUUGUCUCCCAAUUAGCUACAAACAGACAAUAAGGUCAACUAAAAAUGCACAUUUUCAUUGAGUUAAAAGCAUAGCCUGCAAAAUGAAUCAGAUGCCAAGAUUUCACUAUUCUUUAGUGCAUUGAAGAUCAAUGGAAAACGCAAAUCAGCAAAGGCCUGCAAUCAAGGUAUUUCAUUCAAGUUUGUAGCAUUGUGAUCAGGUCUGCAGUUAUGGUAUUCCAUUCAGGUUUGUAGCAUUGAGAUCAUUGUCGUGUCUUGGUAACCAUCAUGAUGUACAGCCCCGGAGAUGUCAGCCGACAACACCAGCAUCCAUUGGAAAUCUGCAACUAUGUAUCAGCACCUUGUGCACGUGCAUGCCUGUAAGACAACUAACUCAUGGGCUUCUUACUUAAUGUUCCUAAUCGUUCUUCCUUGGACUUCAGUUUGGAAUAUUGACGGCCUAACAAAUCAAAAGCAUUUCAAUCCAUCUCAUCAAUCAGCUUAUGUGCUAGCUCAGAGCGCCCAACCUUUUCAGGUCACUGAUCAGUGGAUGGUGGAUAUAUAAAUCAAAGGCUGGUGUAACUUACACACACUUGGACUCCGGCAUCGCCUUCAGGUCAUGGUGGACACCGUCUGGUCCAGUCCGAUCCCUGACCAAGUCGUUGCUUGGAUUGGCAGGUGGGCUAUGUGAGCGAGUGAUGUGAGGAAGCGGACGACGUGUGCGAGUGCCAACGUGCCCGACAAAUUAACUGACAACUGAAACUUUGAUGAAACUGAUGAACUGAAUUUUCUGAAUCUGAUGAAACUAAAUCUGACGAAACUGAAAAUGUCGAAUCUAAGGGAACUUCAGGACAACAUAGGUGGCACCAUAGUGGCCUCGUUCAAAGGUUGCUGCAGCCUCAGAGGGAGCUGCACGAGGGAGGGGCAGCCGAGUUGGUCGUCAUCCCUUGUCGUGGAUCAUUGGAGCUGUGGGUCGCAGGUGGCGGAAGAGCAUAUCCGGGGCUGGGAGGAGUAGCCGCGGGUCGCCGCAUAUAGGGCGCGUCAAUCCUGUACGGGCAGCCAGCAUACCCAAUCAGGAUUAAGUCACGAACCCGCAAUCCUGAUGAAGUCAGAUCUCUCAAUAAUAGGCUCCCGGUGUGAUGCAAAUGCUAGCAGUAUGUGUACUUCUUAAAUUAAGUGACGCGAGUUCAUACAAUAAUUAGAAGGUUCAGUACACUUUUCUGUUUCAAAUUCUUUUUCUUGUGAUGCGGCCAAGAAAUUCUCCUAUAGUUGCAAAAAUCAUUAUUCAUAGUUUAAUAGUAAUAAUGUUCAGGCAGGCACACAUUUAUUGCUAAAUGUCCGUGCCAACUAUGACAUCAGAGGUCUCCCGUUGUAUCUGGAGUAGUGAAUCCGAAACUUUUUGUUCUACUGAACCUAUAUAAAUCUCAGAUUCUCAAUCCAAGAGCUUCUAACUCUUCUCCUCGACAUCAGUAACGCCCAUUUGUAUCUCAAUUAUGGUAUGGAGUGAAAUCUAGGGUAAAAUAGAAAUGAUUGAAUAGGCUCAGCAAUGCUUUUGCAAGUUUAAAACACAACUUUCAGUGAUGGGAGAAGAUCAAAAUUUCAUGUUACCUACAUGUUCAGUAAAACAUGAGUACAUUGCUUGCAAUACGGCCUAUAAGUAGGAUCAAGAUUUCAAGAUCGGCGUUUCUGCACAAGAGAGUUUCACCAACAGUAGCAAGUUACCUGGUGGGGUAUAACAACCACUGCUGCUCGCUGGAGUCCGACCGUAACAACAUAUUCAUAUGUAAAUAUAUAUUCAAUAAAUAUGUAAAGCCCAAAUCUGUAUUUUAUCAAUUUAUUGAAGCUAUAACUUUUAUAUUUUAGCACGACAUGAUUAAUAUAGAAAACUAUGUAGGUUUGCAGCAUGAUAGUUAUCAAAAUGACUUUGUAUAUAAACUACCAAUAAGAUAUUCCAAGUUGUUCCGAAAAUAACAGAGAAAUGUUACUACAUACCCAUACUCCUCAGGCAUAUUUUUCUGUCGUUAUUCAUACGUCAUUGCAUCACACACACACACACCAGAAUUGAUCGCAUCAAGUGUACUCCAUUACAU
This 2806-nucleotide long non-coding RNA is filed under the name Triticum aestivum (bread wheat). RNAcentral describes it as "long non-coding RNA (TAES_LNC014897)". The record is from RNAcentral. Lineage: Eukaryota; Viridiplantae; Streptophyta; Magnoliopsida; Poales; Poaceae.